UGCCUGCGUGAGUGAAGAAGGCCCUCGAGGUUGUACAGCUUUUUUGUCAUAGGGAUAAACAGGUCUGGCUAAUAUCCAGCAGCUGCUGCCUCCCGCAGGAGUAUAAGCACCGGCUAACUACGUGCCAUGCAGCCGCGGUAAUACGUAGGGUGCAAGCGUUAAUCGGAAUUACUGGCGCGUAAAGCCGUGCGCAUAGCGUGUUUUAUAAAGUCUGACUGUGAAAAUCUCCCGGGACUCAACCCUAGGGAACCUGCACUUGGAAGACUUGGUAAGUGCUAAUAAGUGUUGUCUAGAAGUGGGUGGUAAGAAAUUCUCACUGUUUGUACGCCAAGUUGAACAAUGCUGAUAAGAUUAUUGUAUGGAUGUGAUAUUACCAAGAAUNGUGCUCGACACGAGCNACGCGCGCCACCUUGAGGGAUUAAAACAACNUAGCAACUCCUGUCUAUUGNCCAGCUUGACAAAUGGCUGUUUGUGAGUGAUGGCUAAAAACGAGGAGUAGUUUCAGGGACUUAGCCCGCGUUGCGGAUUAUGCUUCGCAAGCCGGCACGCGUAAUACAACCGGAAUUGCUUCAAAAUCCUUAGGAUUUCGCUACGGUGGUGCUCCCUAUAAAANUAAUAGAAGCCUAUUGUAGGUNAACACCUGGCCACAGUCGUUCAAAACUGGCUUGGUAGCACACGUUUUUUGAAGCUCUGGACGCUUCGCGUGUGGUAGGAUUAACCGUCGUUCCGGGCAAGAUGAAUUCUCAAGUAGAGCUUCCCAAUAAAGGCGGAAAGUAUUGCACCUGCGUGUGGAACGCACUCGAUAACGCAUAGGAUCGCCGUUGGGGAACUAGCAAUNUGUUUGCGCAAUUUNAAAAAUUCUCCGAACUUUGACAAAANCUGGCUGGAAGAACAAAUCCCUUUUAUACCCUAAACGCGCCUGUGGNAAGCAGUUGGGCCCUGUGGAAAUUCCCUUUGAAACGGAAGGAUUUUAGGGAGGAUGUUGGCUGCGCUAAUGGAAGAAAACCGUUGGCCACAGCAGUUGUUGGCUUGGCAUUGGGCCUUGUGCCGGCACAGGCUUCCGUUGGUC
Molecule: ribosomal RNA, 1069 nt
Filed under: uncultured bacterium
Lineage: Bacteria
Description: partial 16S ribosomal RNA
Rfam family: Bacterial small subunit ribosomal RNA (bases 1-232)
Source: RNAcentral